RNAcentral lists this ribosomal RNA (431 nucleotides) under uncultured bacterium. RNAcentral describes it as "partial 16S ribosomal RNA". It matches the Rfam family "Bacterial small subunit ribosomal RNA", at positions 29 to 507 of the family's 1533-position model. The record is from RNAcentral.
AGCGAACGCUGGCGGCAGGCUUAACACAUGCAAGUCGAACGCCCCGCAAGGGGCGUGGCAGACGGGUGAGUAACGCGUGGGAAUCUACCCAUCCCUACGGAAUAACGCAUGGAAACGUGUGCUAAUACCGUAUACGCCCUACGGGGGAAAGAUUUAUCGGGGAUGGAUGAGCCCGCGUUGGAUUAGCUAGUUGGUGGGGUAAAGGCCUACCAAGGCGACGAUCCAUAGCUGGUCUGAGAGGAUGAUCAGCCACAUUGGGACUGAGACACGGCCCAAACUCCUACGGGAGGCAGCAGUGGGGAAUAUUGGACAAUGGGCGCAAGCCUGAUCCAGCCAUGCCGCGUGAGUGAUGAAGGCCUUAGGGUUGUAAAGCUCUUUCACCGGAGAAGAUAAUGACGGUAUCCGGAGAAGAAGCCCCGGCUAACUUCGUG